AUGUAAAUCAAAUAAAGUGAAAUUAAGAUUGUGAAUCCUCAUAAUUUUACCUUGCCAUUUGAACGUUUAAAUCUGAGAAUUUCAUUCAACUUCGGAUAAAAGUUGAUUAACAACUGGUCAUGGUUU
Long non-coding RNA from Haliotis rubra (blacklip abalone), 126 nucleotides. RefSeq lists it as uncharacterized. The record is from RefSeq and is a predicted model, not a curated record. NCBI's taxonomy places the organism in Eukaryota, Metazoa, Mollusca, Gastropoda, Lepetellida, Haliotidae. The transcript is spliced from 3 exons.